UACGUAGGGGGCUAGCGUUGUCCGGAAUCAUUGGGCGUAAAGCGCGUGUAGGCGGCCCGGUAAGUCCGCUGUGAAAGUCGGGGGCUCAACCCUCGGAUGCCGGUGGAUACUGUCGGGCUCGAGUACGGAAGAGGCGAGUGGAAUUCCUGGUGUAGCGGUGAAAUGCGCAGAUAUCAGGAGGAACACCAAUGGCGAAGGCAGCUCGCUGGGACGGUACUGACGCUGAGACGCGAAAGCGUGGGGAGCAAACAGG
This 253-nucleotide ribosomal RNA is filed under the name uncultured bacterium. RNAcentral describes it as "partial 16S ribosomal RNA". It matches the Rfam family "Bacterial small subunit ribosomal RNA", at positions 524 to 776 of the family's 1533-position model. The record is from RNAcentral.